Molecule: ribosomal RNA, 534 nt
Filed under: uncultured soil bacterium
Lineage: Bacteria
Description: bacterial SSU rRNA
Rfam family: Bacterial small subunit ribosomal RNA
Source: RNAcentral
GCUGGCGGCGCGCUUAACACAUGCAAGUCGCACGAGAAAGGGAGCAAUCCUAAGUAAAGUGGCGCACGGGUGAGUAACACGUGGAUCAUCUACCUUUUAGUGGGGAAUACCUCUGGGAAACCGGAGACAAUACCGCAUAAGCCCGCAAGGGGAAAGCAGCAAUGCGCUGAAAGAGGAGUCCGCGGCCGAUUAGCUAGUUGGCGGGGUAACGGCCCACCAAGGCGAAGAUCGGUAGCCGGCCUGAGAGGGCACACGGCCACACUGGCACUGAAACACGGGCCAGACUCCUACGGGAGGCAGCAGUGGGGAAUCUUGCACAAUGGGCGAAAGCCUGAUGCAGCGACGCCGCGUGAGCGAUGAAGCCCUUCGGGGUGUAAAGCUCUUUCGACGGGAACGAUAAUGACGGUACCCGGAGAAGAAGCUGCGGCUAACUACGUGCCAGCAGCCGCGGUAAUACGUAGGCAGCGAGCGUUGUUCGGAAUUACUGGGCGUAAAGAGUGUGUAGGCGGUGCUCCCAGUCUGUUGUGAAAUCUC